RNAcentral lists this ribosomal RNA (200 nucleotides) under Bacillus sp. LMG 19411. RNAcentral describes it as "partial 16S ribosomal RNA". It matches the Rfam family "Bacterial small subunit ribosomal RNA", at positions 386 to 578 of the family's 1533-position model. The record is from RNAcentral. Lineage: Bacteria; Bacillati; Bacillota; Bacilli; Caryophanales; Bacillaceae.
ACGGAGCAACGCCGCGUGAGCAUGAAGGCCUUCGGGUCGUAAAGCUCUGUUGUUAGGGAAGAACAAGUAUCGUUCGAAUAGGGCGGUACCUUGACGGUACCUAACCAGAAAGCCACGGCUAACUACGUGCCAGCAGCCGCGGUAAUACGUAGGUGGCAAGCGUUAUCCGGAAUUAUUGGGCGUAAAGCGCUCGCAGGCGG